RNAcentral lists this ribosomal RNA (159 nucleotides) under Aspergillus niger. RNAcentral's name for it is "5.8S ribosomal RNA". The stretch from base 1 to 130 matches the Rfam family "5.8S ribosomal RNA", at positions 25 to 154 of the family's 154-position model. Rfam says of the family: 5.8S ribosomal RNA (5.8S rRNA) is a component of the large subunit of the eukaryotic ribosome. It is transcribed by RNA polymerase I as part of the 45S precursor that also contains 18S and 28S rRNA. Lineage: Eukaryota; Fungi; Ascomycota; Eurotiomycetes; Eurotiales; Aspergillaceae. The record is from RNAcentral.
UUCCGGCAUCGAUGAAGAACGCAGCGAAAUGCGAUAACUAAUGUGAAUUGCAGAAUUCAGUGAAUCAUCGAGUCUUUGAACGCACAUUGCGCCCCCUGGUAUUCCGGGGGGCAUGCCUGUCCGAGCGUCAUUGCUGCCCUCAAGCCCGGCUUGUGUGUU